This 307-nucleotide ribosomal RNA is filed under the name uncultured bacterium. RNAcentral's name for it is "partial 16S ribosomal RNA". It matches the Rfam family "Bacterial small subunit ribosomal RNA", at positions 506 to 809 of the family's 1533-position model. The record is from RNAcentral.
AGACAGCAGUAGCCGCGGUAAUACGAAGGGUGCAAGCGUUACUCGGAAUUACUGGGCGUAAAGCGUGCGUAGGUGGUGGUUUAAGUCCGUUGUGAAAGCCCUGGGCUCAACCUGGGAAUUGCAGUGGAUACUGGGUCACUAGAGUGUGGCAGAGGAUAGUGGAAUUUCCGGUGUAGCAGUGAAAUGCGUAGAGAUCGGAAGGAACAUCUGUGGCGAAGGCGACUAUCUGGGCCAACACUGACACUGAGGCACGAAAGCGUGGGGAGCAAACAGGAUUAGAUACCCCUGUAGUCCCUGUCUCUUAUAA